Molecule: RNase P RNA, 388 nt
Filed under: Bacillota bacterium
Lineage: Bacteria; Bacillati; Bacillota
Description: RNase P RNA component class A
Rfam family: Bacterial RNase P class A
About the family: Ribonuclease P (RNase P) is a ubiquitous endoribonuclease, found in archaea, bacteria and eukarya as well as chloroplasts and mitochondria. Its best characterised activity is the generation of mature 5'-ends of tRNAs by cleaving the 5'-leader elements of precursor-tRNAs.
Source: RNAcentral
CGAGUAAGUUGGAUGGUCGCGUGUGGUAACACAUGAGGAAAGUCCGUGCUCCAUAGGGCAGGAUGCUGGAUAACGUCCAGUGGGGGUGACCCUAAGGAUAGUGCAACAGAGAUAUACCGCCAGAACUCUUUCUCGGCAUUUGCUUGGACUGUAGUGAAAUAAUCCAUGGAGAUUAUCUGGUAAGGGUGGAAAGGCGAGGUAAGAGCUCACCAGCAUUUAGGUGACUAAAUGGCUCUGUAAACCCCAUCUGGAGCAAGACCAAAAAGGAACAUAAAAGGUGGUAGCCCGCUGCCGUUCCAAUGGUAGGUCGCAGGAACCUAUCGGUAACGAUAGGUCUUAGAUAGAUGACCAUUUAAACAGAACACGGCUUAUAUGAUUUACUCGUUUU